CACAGAUUCUCAGUACAUCAAGGAAGAAUUCCACAUCAUCCUUGAAAUUAAAUUGCUUUGACGUGACAGAAGGCUCCUCUGGUUCACAUGCAUAUCAUACAUCCUUUGAAAUGUAGUGCAAUACAUCACUGAGAUUCCAAGAACCAAGGACCCAACAGAGAAAUAUAGGCUAGAAGAAAUACAGGCACAAAGAACCAUGGAUGGAAUAUGUUCCCAGUUCCAAAAGACUAGUAUCUCAUAUCGUACCAUUACGUGUGCAAGUAAAACCUGAAAAUUUACUAUAUUAUACAAUAGGGAUUAUUUCAGAUCUUGUGGAUUUGAGAUACUUAUCUAAUUUAAUGCAUUUGACCUGAUAUGUAAUGUACUAAUGUGAGAAAAUAAAGGAUAAAGUUUUAAAUA
Molecule: long non-coding RNA, 399 nt
Organism: Falco peregrinus (peregrine falcon)
Lineage: Eukaryota; Metazoa; Chordata; Aves; Falconiformes; Falconidae
Exons: 2
Source: RefSeq, a predicted model, not a curated record